AUGGGCAAGGGGAAGGCCGACGGCGUGGGUUUCCUACGCAAGGUCGUCGGCUUGCCUAGUCGGAGUGGUCGAGCACUUAAUCCUCCCUCCCAGCUACUUGACGAUGACUCCUCACAGGGAGGUCGAAGGAGAGGUGCCCCUAGAGGAGGAGGGGGUGGGGGGAGAGCCCCUAGAGGGCGAGGUGGUGGGGGGAGAGCCCCUAGAGGGCGAGGUGGUGGGGGGAGAGCCACUACAAGGGGUCGCGGCCAGAAAGAGCGCACCCUCAUCUACUUAGGGGUGUUGUCUUCGAGGCCCUCCUCUAGUGAGGUACCCUCUGGCGAGGAGGAGGAGGAGGAGGAGGAGGCAGGCGAGGAGGAGGAGGGCGAGGAGGAGGUUGGGGAGUGGGAGCCAGGCGAGGAGGAGGGUGGUGGCGGGGAGGGGGUUGGCAACAAGGGGUGGCUGCGUGGUAACGCAAAGUUACCAAAGCAGAUUCCUGCUACUAAGGACUAG
Molecule: ribosomal RNA, 489 nt
Filed under: Triticum aestivum (bread wheat)
Lineage: Eukaryota; Viridiplantae; Streptophyta; Magnoliopsida; Poales; Poaceae
Description: partial small subunit ribosomal RNA
Source: RNAcentral